Long non-coding RNA from Pygocentrus nattereri (red-bellied piranha), 1429 nucleotides. RefSeq lists it as uncharacterized. The transcript has 3 exons. NCBI's taxonomy places the organism in Eukaryota, Metazoa, Chordata, Actinopteri, Characiformes, Serrasalmidae. The record is from RefSeq and is a predicted model, not a curated record.
AUUUGCUGAACAGCAUGAAUUUCCGGUGUGGAGCUCGCAGGGAUUUUUUAGAGUAAAAGCUCACGACGAUGGGAGAUGACUUACUUUUCAAAACAAUGUUUAGGUGCUUUAUAACAGUGAAGUUAGGACAGCUAAUGCUGGUCAGAUUUGAUAAGGAUGAACAGUUUUGAUUUACUGAAGAGAGAGGAUCUCAUCCUGCUUUGUGAAAUAACCAGAAGGGUAUUUCAUAAAGUUGGAUUUUUCAGCAUAGUUAGAUAAGUUGAAGGGGAACUCCACCAAUUUUCAAAAUUUCUACAUGAUUUAGCGGUUUAGAUGUAAACAAACCCAUUGAAAGUGGUUCGGUGUGAAAUGCUGGAGAAACGUAUUCGUAUUAUUCGUAUAUAUUAAACGUAUAAUUUGGGUGUUGAUGUCAACUCCGAGUGAACAAGUCUUGCUCAGUUGUAAGUCAGAUUCUUAUCUGCUGUGCCAACUCCAGAUGAGGUCUGAUGAACGGAAUCAGCAUCGAGGUCUUUCCUGCACUGUCUUGUUGGUCAGCAGCAGGCUGAUGCAGUAACGUGAGGCUUAGAGACUCGGAGUGGACAGAGACUUGCCGUCAUUCCAUUGAAGUUUUGCUGUUGCUGCUUUGCCUUCAGGCAUCAUUAUGGUAGGAGUAAUUAUUGUCUCAAAGAGAGCAGGCAUCAACCUUGAUAACAUAGCAAUACCAAUUGCAGCCAGCUUUGGUGACCUCAUCACUCUGGGUUCUUCGAAUUUGUUGAGCCCUCCCCCUGUAUUUUUAUAUGGUGCGUGUUCUCUUUCUGUGUCUGACGCCAGUUUGGGUAAUAAUUUCUUUACGUCACCCAGAGAGCCGCAGGCUGCUGUACUGCAGCUGCAAGCCCAUAAUCACAGCCAUGGUCACCAGUAGGUCAGUGGAUACUGACUGUGAUAUUACCCUUAGAAACCUGAUGAGAUCAAUUCACCUUGUUUCUCGUAGUGGUCAUAGUUUUAUACAAUAUGGUGUACAUUUCCAAUGUUAUCAAAUAAAUUGUAUGAGUACACUCAAAUAUGUCAUUCAGCCUUUACACCUUUAGUUAGGAUGUGACAUUACCCAAGAGAAAAACUUAUUUGAUUGUCUUAUUUUAUGUAGGACUUCAGAAUCCAGAAGAAAUGCAAUCAUAUCACAUCAUCAUAGUGCAGGGUUUUAGAGGGAUUUUGACUAUUUGCCACUUUUUUAUAAUAAAUAAAACAUUUCCAGUCGAUUUAUACAUUAUAUUUCAAUAUUGGACAUGUACACUGUUUUAAGGCAUACAGAUCUAAACAGUCAGGGUUCCCUUAAAUAUGGAAUAAUGUAAACACUUGUCCUUCUGUAUGUCUUCAGCCUGGGAGGACUCAUUUUGGACAGAGCCAUGACUGAUCCAAACCUAAUGGGAGUAGUCCUUUACAUACCUAUUAU